AUUGAACGCUGGCGGCAGGCCUAACACAUGCAAGUCGAGCGGAUGAAGGGAGCUUGCUCCUGGAUUCAGCGGCGGACGGGUGAGUAAUGCCUAGGAAUCUGCCUGGUAGUGGGGGAUAACGUCCGGAAACGGGCGCUAAUACCGCAUACGUCCUGAGGGAGAAAGUGGGGGAUCUUCGGACCUCACGCUAUCAGAUGAGCCUAGGUCGGAUUAGCUAGUUGGUGGGGUAAAGGCCUACCAAGGCGACGAUCCGUAACUGGUCUGAGAGGAUGAUCAGUCACACUGGAACUGAGACACGGUCAAGACUCCUACGGGAGGCAGCAGUGGGGAAUAUUGGACAAUGGGCGAAAGCCUGAUCCAGCCAUGCCGCGUGUGUGAAGAAGGUCUUCGGAUUGUAAAGCACUUUAAGUUGGGAGGAAGGGCAGUAAGUUAAUACCUUGCCGUUUUGACGUUACCAACAGAAUAAGCACCGGCUAACUUCGUG
RNAcentral lists this ribosomal RNA (484 nucleotides) under uncultured bacterium. RNAcentral's name for it is "partial 16S ribosomal RNA". It matches the Rfam family "Bacterial small subunit ribosomal RNA", at positions 30 to 507 of the family's 1533-position model. The record is from RNAcentral.